Molecule: transfer RNA, 85 nt
Filed under: Actinomadura graeca
Lineage: Bacteria; Bacillati; Actinomycetota; Actinomycetes; Streptosporangiales; Thermomonosporaceae
Description: Actinomadura sp. 32-07 tRNA-Ser
Rfam family: tRNA
About the family: Transfer RNA (tRNA) molecules are approximately 80 nucleotides in length. Their secondary structure includes four short double-helical elements and three loops (D, anti-codon, and T loops).
Source: RNAcentral
GGAGGGUUGGCCGAGAGGGAAGGCAGCGGCUUGCUAAGCCGUGGUCAGGGGUCGCCCUGCGCGAGUUCGAGUCUCGCACCCUCCG